AUGAACGCUGGCGGCGUGCCUAAUACAUGCAAGUCGAGCGAACGGACGAGAAGCUUGCUUCUCUGAUGUUAGCGGCGGACGGGUGAGUAACACGUGGAUAACCUACCUAUAAGACUGGGAUAACUUCGGGAAACCGGAGCUAAUACCGGAUGAUAUUUUGAACCGCAUGGUUCAAAAGUGAAAGACGGUCUUGCUGUCACUUAUAGAUGGAUCCGCGCUGCAUUAGCUAGUUGGUAAGGUAACGGCUUACCAAGGCAACGAUGCAUAGCCGACCUGAGAGGGUGAUCGGCCACACUGGAACUGAGACACGGUCCAGACUCCUACGGGAGGCAGCAGUAGGGAAUCUUCCGCAUUGGGCGAAAGCCUGACGGAGCAACGCCGCGUGAGUGAUGAAGGUCUUCGGAUCGUAAAACUCUGUUAUUAGGGAAGAACAUAUGUGUAAGUAACUGUGCACAUCUUGACGGUACCUAAUCAGAAAGCCACGGCUAACUACGUG
RNAcentral lists this ribosomal RNA (496 nucleotides) under uncultured bacterium. RNAcentral describes it as "partial 16S ribosomal RNA". It matches the Rfam family "Bacterial small subunit ribosomal RNA", at positions 29 to 507 of the family's 1533-position model. The record is from RNAcentral.